GGGCCUGUGGCGCAAUGGAUAACGCGUCUGACUACGAAUCAGGAGAUUGUGGGUUCGACUCCCGCCAGGCUCG
RNAcentral lists this transfer RNA (73 nucleotides) under Thelohanellus kitauei. Its description in RNAcentral is "tRNA-Arg for anticodon ACG". It matches the Rfam family "tRNA". From Rfam's summary of the family: Transfer RNA (tRNA) molecules are approximately 80 nucleotides in length. Their secondary structure includes four short double-helical elements and three loops (D, anti-codon, and T loops). Lineage: Eukaryota; Metazoa; Cnidaria; Myxozoa; Bivalvulida; Myxobolidae. The record is from Rfam by way of RNAcentral.